AAUAAAGCUUUGAAUCUUGAAUCUAAAUUUCUUCUACUAAGUGUUGUGUUUUUUUAAGUUUUGCAAUUUGUUCUCAUACUGUACCGAAAGUGAGCCAAACCAUGACCUCAAAACCGAGGUACGUAUCGAACCGUGAUUUUUGUGUAUCGUUACACCCCU
This is a long non-coding RNA of Thalassophryne amazonica, 159 nucleotides long. RefSeq lists it as uncharacterized. The record is from RefSeq and is a predicted model, not a curated record. Lineage: Eukaryota; Metazoa; Chordata; Actinopteri; Batrachoidiformes; Batrachoididae. The transcript has 3 exons.